AUCUUCGGGAGGCAUUUCCUGGAGAUGAAGCCUACGGGGCAAAAAGAGGAGCUCGCGGCCUAUCAGCUAGUUGGCGAGGUAACGGCUCACCAAGGCUAUGACGGGUAGCUGGUCUGAGAGGAUGGCCAGCCACAUUGGGACUGAGAUACGGCCCAGACUCCUACGGGAGGCAGCAGUGGGGAAUAUUGCGCAAUGGUCUAACGACUGACGCAGCGACGCCGCGUGAGGGAUGAAGCUCUUCGGAGUGUAAACCUCUGUUGCCAGGGACGAACAGCUGAAUUCAUUCAGCCUGACGGUACCUGGUGAGGAAGCACCGGCUAACUCCGUGCCAGCAGCCGCGGUAAUACGGGGGGUGCGAGCGUUGUCCGGAAUCACUGGGCGUAAAGGGCGCGUAGGUGGCCUGAUAAGGGUGUGGUGAAAGUCCGGGGCUUAACCCCGGAUCUGCCGUGCCGACUGUUAGGCUAGAGUGCUGUGGGGGCAGGCGGAAUUCCGGGUGUAGCGGUGGAAUGCGUAGAGAUCCGGAGGAAGACCGGUGGCGAAGGCGGCCUGCUGGGCAGAUACUGACACUGAGGCGCGACAGCGUGGGGAGCAAACAGGAUUGGAUACCCUGGUAGUCCACGCCGUAAACGAUGGGUACUAGGUGCCUGGGGGAGCGACCCCUUGGGUGCCGGCGCUAACGCAGGAAGUACCCCGCCUGGGGAGUACGACCGCAAGGUUGAAACUCAAAGG
Molecule: ribosomal RNA, 729 nt
Filed under: uncultured bacterium
Lineage: Bacteria
Description: bacterial SSU rRNA
Rfam family: Bacterial small subunit ribosomal RNA
Source: RNAcentral